RNAcentral lists this long non-coding RNA (3022 nucleotides) under Marmota monax (woodchuck). Lineage: Eukaryota; Metazoa; Chordata; Mammalia; Rodentia; Sciuridae. The record is from RNAcentral.
CAUCCCUGUCCCUAGGGCACUAUAGGAAAGAUUCCAUCUCAGGUGUAGCUAACAGGUGAAUCAGAGUCAGGAUCUUUCAGGUGUUGGCUCCAAGGCUGCCUUCUUGUGAAGGUCUCUCAGCCCCUGGGCUCCUACCCCCAGCCCCAGCAAAACCACCCCAGCCCUCUACCGCAUUUCCCUGCCUUCCAUGUAGCCCACGACUCUGGUCUGUCCCCUGUGUAUCAUGCUGCCUGAGGGCACAGACUGGAGCUGGUAGCUGCUAUUUCUUCAGUGUCUGCCAGUAAAUGUUGGUUGACUAAAGUGCCUCUGACUGUCCCUGUGACCACAGCAGUCAGGUCACCAGAGAAGAAGAAUAUCUCGCAGUGGGAGUGGACAUUCCCUGGCCUCUCACUUCCUCUCCUCCAGUGAGCUCUUCCAGCACCCUCUUUGGCCAUCUGCUCUCAGUGUCCCACUCUAGACCUUGUCCUCACCAAAAACCCAUCUCUGGAUUGACCUUCAGCAAACACUUUCUGGUCUUCAUGAACGUCACUCCCCUACUCAUAGACCCUUUCCCCUGGAGCACCCCAGGGUUUUAUGAUCAGCCUCAACCCAUGUGAAGCCUCUGAAGUCAAUAGACACCACCCACCUGCGUCUGCCUAGGGCUCCCUGCUUAGCCUCCUAGUGCCAGGCCACCAGGUGACAGGGAUUCCUCUCCAACCCUAAUUCUCCCAGAGCCUCAGCCCACUCCACCUUUUCUUCCCAGAAUGCCAGCUGCCCACUGCAUGGAGUCUCCUUACUGGUGCUGUAAUUAGGGGCCAAAGAACAUCUUCCCUUCCAUAUCCUCUCAACCUGUAGCCUGGGGCAUCUGGACCCAUGUGUGCCCCAGAAGUUCUGACCAUGGAGAAAGGACCAGUCUCCAUCUUGGAGGAGGGACCUAGAUGACCCAGCUACCCACAAGGACACAUGGCCUGGAAUGGGGCAGAGUUGUCCUGCUGGCUCAGAGAAUGGAACCUUGGGUUUUUCUGGUUAUGAGUCAAUGCCCAAGGCUGUCCACAGAAAAGCUCUAUCUGCUCCUGGACGAGGGAAGUCACCGGUUGAUCCCAGCUGUACUAGGCACCCUCCACAUCCAAGGGCGGAUCCAGGUGGAGCCUGUGUCAGAAGAGUCUAACCUUGGUCCCCAUUUGCUGCUUCUCUCCUUCAUCAGUCAGCACUGGUGUCUUCAGAGUCAAAGCCUCGGUGCAUGCGCUCCGAAGACAGCAUGCCUCCAGUCCUUAGGUGAGGAGGGAUGUGCGAGCAGAAUGCUGCUGGCUGCAGGUGGACCUAACGCAUCUGGGAACCGAGGAGCCACAGAUGGCUCCAUGGACCCACUGGACUCCCCACAAGAUGAAUUUCAGCCAAAACCCCUGUACCCCAUGGGCUCUGUGAGCUCCCCUCUAACCAGAGGACCAUGCUGGCCUUCAGGUCCCUGGGAGCCUUGUCAUUCAGACCCCAGCCCACUGACAUGGGCUGCUGGAAUGGGAACCUGCAAACUCUUGCAGAACUAAGUCAGCUCACAGACUGGAGACCAUUAAUUAAAGGCUAGGCCAGGUCCCCUUGAGGAAUGACCCUGAAAUACCAUUGCAAGUAUAUAUGACAUUGCCCAAGCACCCAGGCCCUGGGCAAUGGGAGCCCCUUUGCAGCAGGCCUGUGUUGGCCUUGAGUGGCCAUCGGUGCCCCCAGUACUGUCGGAGCAGCCAGACCACACUCUGAUCCUCAUCCCUGUCACACAGAGCCAGGCCUUAGCCACCACAUGCCCCAAGGCCUCACUUUCCACCUGCGCCUCAGUCAGCUACCCACAGAUGCCAUGGUAGCUGGCCCACCUCCUAGCUUCCACUAGCAAUUCAGCCCUUCUAGUCUGCACACAGGGACAGUCCAGCUGAAAAUCCCACCCUGAGAGCCACUGACUAUUCCAGGACAGGACUUCAUGCAUCUUAGGAAACCUCCAUGGUCAGUUACCAGUUCCUUAUCUGGACCACUUGUGGCAUCAACUGCCUUAGCCUGGGUUCCCUAGAAAUGGGUCACUGUGGGCACUGCUUAGCAGUAAGUACUAUCAAUUCCUCAGUCUCAUGGGACGUCCUCUGAGAGUCCAUCGGUGAGCCUGCUUAUGAAAUGGAUUCUGGGGUGGAGCACCACCUCUCCAAAAGCCAUGGGACCAUUGGCACAGAAGCGGAUGAAUGGUCAGGGCAGAGGUGGCAGCCACACUGAUGAUCUGGCUGAGACCCACUGAGUUGCUCCAGCUUCCCAUGUCUUGUAAACUAAGUUUGCUGAGGACUCUUUCUGGCAAAUUCGAGCAGACCAGGCCAUCCUGCCCCAGUCCCUUGAUAUCACUUGACUGAAGGCCUCAUCCCCUUUCCCCAUUGGGCAGGCAGCUGGAAUCACAUGAGACUACCCCACAAUUCUGCAAGUCUGAAAAGGGGAGAGAAGUUGAAAAUAAGCACUCUGUGGGGGUUGUACCAUAGGUAAACUGGGUGACAGGAUUCUGUGUCCAGCCAGGAGCCACUGAAAACACUCCUUGAACCAUUGAUCAAGGAAAGGCCUCAGGAGACCAGGGUACUUCUAAGUAGCUGUGGGCCCUCUCAGUCCUGUGACCUCUUCUCCCCACAUCUGUAAGGACCCCACCAUCACUGGGGGUCCUCACGGAAGUCUGAGGAGUUGCUUGAUUUAUCUCAGUGGUUCUUCACCUCUUAGGAUCAAGACCACUUAAAUAAUUGAGAAGAAGCUGUGAGCCUUUUCUCUAGAAAAAUGCCUAUAUGCAUAUACACAAACAAUAUCAUAUACAACUUGAGGUGUGCAUCAACACUCCCAAGGCCUAUUGGGAAAUUCCCAGAUGGCGUCUGGGCUCCAGCUUAAGAAUUCUUGGCCUAUAACAAUGUUUCCAAGAAUAUAUAUGGACAAGUGUUCCCUUUGCCUGCUCCCCGCACUGCAUGGGCAUCUCUGUGCAUUGGAGACCUACCUGGCCCCUGGCCUCUCCUUCCCACUCCCUCAACCAUCCAACCUUCUGAAC